UUUAACCUAAUAAGAGGUUAUAAAUACCUCCUUAGCUAUUGUAGUCGUAGCAGAGAAUUUUUAGAGGUUUGAAAACCCCUUUUUGGUUUCAUGAUGAAACCAUGGUGUGGACAAUUGAGGUUGAGGAGUCCCUCUCUUGUUACAUCGGGGAAU
Molecule: non-coding RNA, 153 nt
Organism: Arachis ipaensis
Lineage: Eukaryota; Viridiplantae; Streptophyta; Magnoliopsida; Fabales; Fabaceae
Source: RefSeq, a predicted model, not a curated record